UAAUAAAUGGUAAAAAUAUGAGAAAACCGGGAAAAACGGAAAAAUAAGUACAAUACUAAACAAAUAUUAUCAAAGAAAAUGUUUCUGUGUAUGACAUUAUUGACAAAACAACACUAUCAACCGAACUCUAUCCAGAAUCGUUUUUUUGUUGUUGUUAAUGGUUAAUGGUUGCUUACAGCUACAUUAAAUACAUUAAAUUUCUGUCUAUAUCCUACCUACCCAACUCUCCACCAACAACAGUGGCUGCAUCCGUCCCCAUUAUUCUAAGAAAACUUUUUUUUUUUCCGUGAAUAACUUUUCUACCAUGAAUUUUAUUCCGAUUUUCAAGUUAAGCUCUUUUUUUAGAAAGGUCAUCUGACUGGGGUAGUACUUUAAG
Cinara cedri is the source of this 376-nucleotide non-coding RNA. The record is from the annotation of a GenBank genome assembly. NCBI's taxonomy places the organism in Eukaryota, Metazoa, Arthropoda, Insecta, Hemiptera, Aphididae.